Molecule: ribosomal RNA, 382 nt
Filed under: Salmonella enterica subsp. enterica serovar Weltevreden
Lineage: Bacteria; Pseudomonadati; Pseudomonadota; Gammaproteobacteria; Enterobacterales; Enterobacteriaceae
Description: partial 23S ribosomal RNA
Rfam family: Bacterial large subunit ribosomal RNA
Source: RNAcentral
UGUUUCGGCUAGGGGGCCAUCCCGGCUUACCAACCCGAUGCAAACUGCGAAUACCGGAGAAUGUUAUCACGGGAGACACACGGCGGGUGCUAACGUCCGUCGUGAAGAGGGAAACAACCCAGACCGCCAGCUAAGGUCCCAAAGUCAUGGUUAAGUGGGAAACGAUGUGGGAAGGCCCAGACAGCCAGGAUGUUGGCUUAGAAGCAGCCAUCAUUUAAAGAAAGCGUAAUAGCUCACUGGUCGAGUCGGCCUGCGCGGAAGAUGUAACGGGGCUAAACCAUGCACCGAAGCUGCGGCAGCGACGCUUAUGCGUUGUUGGGUAGGGGAGCGUUCUGUAAGCCUGUGAAGGUGGCCUGUGAGGGUUGCUGGAGGUAUCAGAAGU